GAUGAACGCUGGCGGCGUGCCUAAUACAUGCAAGUCGAGCGAACAGACGAGGAGCUUGCUCCUCUGACGUUAGCGGCGGACGGGUGAGUAACACGUGGAUAACCUACCUAUAAGACUGGGAUAACUUCGGGAAACCGGAGCUAAUACCGGAUAAUAUAUUGAACCGCAUGGUUCAAUAGUGAAAGACGGUUUUGCUGUCACUUAUAGAUGGAUCCGCGCCGCAUUAGCUAGUUGGUAAGGUAACGGCUUACCAAGGCAACGAUGCGUAGCCGACCUGAGAGGGGGGUGGGCCGCGCGGGAGGUGAGGCGGGGGGCAGAGUGGUACGGGAGGCGGGGGUAGGGAAUCGUCGGCGAGGGGCGAGAGCGUGACGGAGCAACGCCGCGUGAGUGAUGAAGGGCUUCGGAUCGUAAAACUCUGUUAUGAGGGAAGAACAAAUGUGUAAGUAACUAUGCGCGUCUUGACGGUACCUAAUCAGAAAGCCACGGCUAACUACGUG
RNAcentral lists this ribosomal RNA (497 nucleotides) under uncultured bacterium. RNAcentral describes it as "partial 16S ribosomal RNA". It matches the Rfam family "Bacterial small subunit ribosomal RNA", at positions 28 to 507 of the family's 1533-position model. The record is from RNAcentral.